RNAcentral lists this ribosomal RNA (234 nucleotides) under uncultured bacterium. RNAcentral describes it as "partial 16S ribosomal RNA". It matches the Rfam family "Bacterial small subunit ribosomal RNA", at positions 524 to 757 of the family's 1533-position model. The record is from RNAcentral.
UACGAAGGGUGCAAGCGUUAAUCGGAAUUACUGGGCGUAAAGCGUGCGUAGGCGGUUUGUUAAGUCUGUUGUGAAAUCCCCAGGCUUAACCUGGGAACUGCAUCCGAUACUGGAUGGCUUGAAUCCGGGAGAGGGAUGCGGAAUUCCAGGUGUAGCGGUGAAAUGACGUAGAUAUCUGGAGGAACACCGUGGCGAAGGCGGCAUCCUGGACCGGCAUUGACGCUGAGGAGCGAA